UGGGGAAUCUUCCGCAAUGGACGAAAGUCUGACGGAGCAACGCCGCGUGAGUGAAGACGGCCUUCGGGUUGUAAAGCUCUGUGAUCCGGGACGAAAGAGCCUGAGGUGAAUAGCCUAAGGAAGUGACGGUACCGGAAAAGCAAGCCACGGCUAACUACGUGCCAGCAGCCGCGGUAAUACGUAGGUGGCAAGCGUUGUCCGGAAUUAUUGGGCGUAAAGCGCGCGCAGGCGGCUUCCUAAGUCCAUCUUAAAAGUGCGGGGCUUAACCCCGUGAUGGGAUGGCAACUGGGAAGCUGGAGUAUCGGAGAGGAAAGUGGAAUUCCUAGUGUAGCGGUGAAAUGCGUAGAGAUUAGGAAGAACACCGGUGGCGAAGGCGACUUUCUGGACGAAAACUGACGCUGAGGCGCGAAAGCGUGGGGAGCAAACAGG
Molecule: ribosomal RNA, 429 nt
Filed under: Fusobacteriota bacterium
Lineage: Bacteria; Fusobacteriati; Fusobacteriota
Description: Fusobacteria bacterium partial 16S ribosomal RNA
Rfam family: Bacterial small subunit ribosomal RNA
Source: RNAcentral